RNAcentral lists this unclassified non-coding RNA (390 nucleotides) under soil metagenome. RNAcentral's name for it is "partial contains 5.8S ribosomal RNA, internal transcribed spacer 2, and large subunit ribosomal RNA". The stretch from base 1 to 120 matches the Rfam family "5.8S ribosomal RNA", at positions 35 to 154 of the family's 154-position model. The record is from RNAcentral.
GAUGAAGAACGUAGCGAAAUGCGAUAAGUAAUGUGAAUUGCAGAAUUCAGUGAAUCAUCGAAUCUUUGAACGCACCUUGCGCUCCUUGGUAUUCCGAGGAGCAUGCCUGUUUGAGUGUCAUUAAAUUCUCAACCUUUCCAGCUUUUGCGAGUUUGGAUUGGCUUGGAUGUGGAGGUUUGCAGGCUUCUCAGAAGUCAGCUCCUCUUAAAUGCAUUAGUGGAACCUUUGUGGACCAGCUUUGGUGUGAUAAUUAUCUAUGCCAUGGUUGUAAAGCAGUUUUUAUAUGGGGUUCAGCUUCUAACAGUCCAUUGACUUGGACAAUUUCUGACAUUUUGACCUCAAAUCAGGUAGGACUACCCGCUGAACUUAAGCAUAUCAAUAAGCGGAGGA